AUAUUGCAAAAUGGGCGAAAGCCCGAUGCAGCAACGCCGCGUGGGCGAUGAAGGCCUUCGGGUCGUAAAGCUCUUUUUGAGGGGAUGAGGAAGGACAGUACCCUCAGAAUAAGCCUCGGCUAACUACGUGCCAGCAGCCGCGGUAAAACGUAGGAGGCGAGCGUUAUCCGGAUUUACUGUGCGUAAAGCGCGUGCAGGCGGAUUGGAGAGUUGGAUGUUAAAGCUCACGGCUUAACUGGGAGAGGUCGUUCAAUACUUCCAGUCUUGAGUGCAGUAGAGGGAAGUGGAAUUCCGGGUGUAGUGGUGAAAUGCGUAGAUAUACGGAGGAACACCAGUGGAGAAAGCGGCUUCCUGGACUGUAACUGACGCUCAGACGCGAAAGCUAGGGUAGCAAACG
This 397-nucleotide ribosomal RNA is filed under the name uncultured bacterium. Its description in RNAcentral is "bacterial SSU rRNA". It matches the Rfam family "Bacterial small subunit ribosomal RNA", at positions 361 to 774 of the family's 1533-position model. The record is from RNAcentral.